This 304-nucleotide ribosomal RNA is filed under the name Salmonella enterica subsp. enterica serovar Enteritidis. Its description in RNAcentral is "partial 23S ribosomal RNA". It matches the Rfam family "Bacterial large subunit ribosomal RNA", at positions 1292 to 1597 of the family's 2925-position model. The record is from RNAcentral. Lineage: Bacteria; Pseudomonadati; Pseudomonadota; Gammaproteobacteria; Enterobacterales; Enterobacteriaceae.
GAAUGCUGACAUAAGUAACGAUAAAGCGGGUGAAAAGCCCGCUCGCCGGAAGACCAAGGGUUCCUGUCCAACGUUAAUCGGGGCAGGGUGAGUCGACCCCUAAGGCGAGGCCGAAAGGCGUAGUCGAUGGGAAACGGGUUAAUAUUCCCGUACUUGGUGUUACUGCGAAGGGGGGACGGAGAAGGCUAUGUUGGCCGGGCGACGGUUGUCCCGGUUUAAGCGUGUAGGUGUGUGUUCCAGGUAAAUCCGGUUCACUUUAACACUGAGGCGUGACGACGAGGCACUACGGUGCUGAAGCAACAAA